GUGUUUACACUCUAGGUCGCUCCCUCAGGGAACUUUGGGGAGAGUUAUCAGGAGGCCUGCACAGUCCCAAGAUGCACCGAGGAUAGGGCAGUGGGAUGGCCACCUGCAAGUGCGGAGGAACGGGGGUAAGCAGAGUAAUAAACGCAGGUAGUCGAAAUCACGUUGUCAAGCUGACCACAGCCCACGAAGGCCAGCCUGGCGUGCUGGUGCCUUGCAUGGCCACAAUCCCUGCACCGGGAAGCAGAGGCAGGAAGACGACGAGUUCAAGGUCAUUUUGGCUACAAGGCCCUGGAAAAAACAAACCAAACCAAAACGGAACUGUGUCCAGAAAGGAAGGACACCACGGCCCAUGUCGUGACAAGGGGUCAGCAACUGAAGAGGAAGCAGGUCCCUGAGAAGCUAGGUCUGGGUUCCCCAUCUGCAGGCGCACACUCAUUCCUGCAGGGUCCGCUAACUUCCACAGGGUCUCAUUGGGUCUCGCUCCUCUAGCUAGAGGAUUCGUGCAGAGAAGCCACGUUCUAGUCCGGAAGUCUCCAUGACCCAGUUCCUCAGCCUCCUUACUUACUUUGGCUGGCGUUUGGUCUCCGGUGCGAGAGCAGAAGUGGAAUUGAGAACAGAGAGGAUGCGGAUUUGGUGGCUACGCAAAGCUUCAAGGGGUCUGACUAGAACAGUUCCUGCGGCCUUCCUGUGGUUGGAGACACACAGCUAACUCUGACCAGUGAGCGGACACGCGAAGUAACAUGUCCCUUCCUCUUCCCAAAUAGUCUUUCUUCUGCUUUCAUGCCUUUAAAAAGAAAAAUCUAGAUUUUUGCACUUGGGAGAAAACACGUAACAUCUACCUCUCCGAGUCAGGCUUAUUUCUGCUGAAGUUCCAUCCAUGUGAACGACGUCACCACGAGCUCCUUCCUAACUGAAUAAAACUCCGAGCUGUCUA
Molecule: non-coding RNA, 934 nt
Organism: Rattus norvegicus (Norway rat)
Lineage: Eukaryota; Metazoa; Chordata; Mammalia; Rodentia; Muridae
Source: RefSeq, a predicted model, not a curated record